GACGAACGCUGGCGGCGUGCUUAACACAUGCAAGUCGAGCGGUAAGGCCCUUUCGGGGGUACACGAGCGGCGAACGGGUGAGUAACACGUGGGUGACCUGCCCUUAGCUCUGGGAUAAGCCUGGGAAACUGGGUCUAAUACCGGAUAUGACUCCAUGACGCAUGUUGUGGGGUGGAAAGCCUUGUGCGGCUAGGGAUGGGCCUGCGGCCUAUCAGCUUGUUGGUGGGGUGANGGCCUACCAAGGCGACGACGGGUAGCCGGCCUGAGAGGGCGACCGGCCACACUGGGACUGAGACACGGCCCAGACUCCUACGGGAGGCAGCAGUGGGGAAUCUUGCGCAAUGGGCGAAAGCCUGACGCAGCGACGCCGCGUGGGGAUGACGGCC
RNAcentral lists this ribosomal RNA (386 nucleotides) under uncultured bacterium. RNAcentral's name for it is "bacterial SSU rRNA". It matches the Rfam family "Bacterial small subunit ribosomal RNA", at positions 28 to 416 of the family's 1533-position model. The record is from RNAcentral.